RNAcentral lists this ribosomal RNA (301 nucleotides) under uncultured bacterium. Its description in RNAcentral is "partial 16S ribosomal RNA". It matches the Rfam family "Bacterial small subunit ribosomal RNA", at positions 509 to 807 of the family's 1533-position model. The record is from RNAcentral.
CAGCAGCCGCGGUAAAACGGAGGGUGCAAGCGUUAUCCGGAUUUAUUGGGUUUAAAGGGUCCGUAGGCGGACUUAUAAGUCAGUGGUGAAGGCCUGUCGCUUAACGAUAGAACUGCCAUUGAUACUGUAAGUCUUGAGUAUAUUUGAGGUAGCUGGAAUAAGUAGUGUAGCGGUGAAAUGCAUAGAUAUUACUUAGAACACCAAUUGCGAAGGCAGGUUACCAAGAUAUAACUGACGCUGAGGUACGAAAGCAUGGGGAGCAAACAGGAUUAGAUACCCGCGUAGUCCCUGUCUCUUAUAC